Molecule: ribosomal RNA, 427 nt
Filed under: uncultured Moraxellaceae bacterium
Lineage: Bacteria; Pseudomonadati; Pseudomonadota; Gammaproteobacteria; Moraxellales; Moraxellaceae
Description: bacterial SSU rRNA
Rfam family: Bacterial small subunit ribosomal RNA
Source: RNAcentral
GGGGAAUAUUGGACAAUGGGGGGAACCCUGAUCCAGCCAUGCCGCGUGUGUGAAGAAGGCCUUAUGGUUGUAAAGCACUUUAAGCGAGGAGGAGGCUCUUUUGGUUAAUACCCAAGAUGAGUGGACGUUACUCGCAGAAUAAGCACCGGCUAACUCUGUGCCAGCAGCCGCGGUAAUACAGAGGGUGCGAGCGUUAAUCGGAUUUACUGGGCGUAAAGCGUGCGUAGGCGGCUUUUUAAGUCGGAUGUGAAAUCCCCGAGCUUAACUUGGGAACUGCAGUCGAGACGGGGGAGUUUGAGGCUGGGAGCGGGAGGGAAUAAUGCAAGUGUAAGGGUGAGAAGCGGAGAAAUACGGGGGAAUACCGGUGGCGAAGGGUGGCAUCCGGGCGUAUACUGGCGCUGAUGUACGUAAGCAGGGGGAGCAAACU